Molecule: ribosomal RNA, 751 nt
Filed under: uncultured bacterium
Lineage: Bacteria
Description: bacterial SSU rRNA
Rfam family: Bacterial small subunit ribosomal RNA
Source: RNAcentral
GUUUGUCGCGUUGUUCGUGAAAUCUCACGGCUUAACUGUGAGCGUGCGGGCGAUACGGGCAGACUUGAGUACUGCAGGGGAGACUGGAAUUCCUGGUGUAGCGGUGGAAUGCGCAGAUAUCAGGAGGAACACCGGUGGCGAAGGCGGGUCUCUGGGCAGUGACUGACGCUGAGGAGCGAAAGCGUGGGGAGCGAACAGGAUUAGAUACCCUGGUAGUCCACGCCGUAAACGGUGGGUACUAGGUGUGGGUUUCCUUCCUUGGGAUCCGUGCCGUAGCUAACGCAUUAAGUACCCCGCCUGGGGAGUACGGCCGCAAGGCUAAAACUCAAAGAAAUUGACGGGGGCCCGCACAAGCGGCGGAGCAUGUGGAUUAAUUCGAUGCAACGCGAAGAACCUUACCUGGGUUUGACAUGCACAGGACGCCGGCAGAGAUGUCGGUUCCCUUGUGGCCCGUGUGCAGGUGGUGCAUGGCUGUCGUCAGCUCGUGUCGUGAGAUGUUGGGUUAAGUCCCGCAACGAGCGCAACCCUUGUCUCAUGUUGCCAGCGGGUAAUGCCGGGGACUCGUGAGAGACUGCCGGGGUCAACUCGGAGGAAGGUGGGGAUGACGUCAAGUCAUCAUGCCCCUUAUGUCCAGGGCUUCACACAUGCUACAAUGGCCGGUACAAAGGGCUGCGAUGCCGCGAGGUUAAGCGAAUCCUUUUAAAGCCGGUCUCAGUUCGGAUCGGGGUCUGCAACUCGACCCCGUGAAGUC